CCCCUGGUAGCUCAGUUGGUAGAGCGCCUGUUUGAAGAGCAGGAAGUCGUCAGUUCGAUACUGAUCUGGGGGG
RNAcentral lists this transfer RNA (73 nucleotides) under Hydrocoleum sp. CS-953. It matches the Rfam family "tRNA". Rfam says of the family: Transfer RNA (tRNA) molecules are approximately 80 nucleotides in length. Their secondary structure includes four short double-helical elements and three loops (D, anti-codon, and T loops). Lineage: Bacteria; Bacillati; Cyanobacteriota; Cyanophyceae; Oscillatoriales; Microcoleaceae. RNAcentral also lists the same sequence under 1 other name. The record is from Rfam by way of RNAcentral.